This 63-nucleotide transfer RNA is filed under the name Carausius sp. RNAcentral describes it as "tRNA-Ser". Lineage: Eukaryota; Metazoa; Arthropoda; Insecta; Phasmatodea; Lonchodidae. The record is from RNAcentral.
AGGAAUUUAAAUAUAAUAGCCGCUAACUAAUUAUUAAUAUGGUUUAAAUCCAUAUAAUUCCUA